UACGUAGGGGGCAAGCGUUGUCCGGAAUCAUUGGGCGUAAAGCGCGUGUAGGCGGCCUUGUAAGUCCGUUCUGAAAGCCCGGGGCUCAACCCCGGGAGGCGGAUGGAUACUGCAAGGCUCGAGUCCGGAAGAGGCAAGUGGAAUUCCCGGUGUAGCGGUGAAAUGCGCAGAUAUCGGGAGGAACACCAAUGGCGAAGGCAGCUUGCUGGGACGGUACUGACGCUGAGACGCGAAAGCGUGGGGAGCGAACAGG
RNAcentral lists this ribosomal RNA (253 nucleotides) under uncultured bacterium. RNAcentral describes it as "partial 16S ribosomal RNA". It matches the Rfam family "Bacterial small subunit ribosomal RNA", at positions 524 to 776 of the family's 1533-position model. The record is from RNAcentral.